AACGUAGGUGGCGAGCGUUAUCCGGAAUUACUGGGCGUAAAGCGUGUGCAAGCGGGCUGACAAGUGGUGUAUGAAAUAUCCCGGCUUAACCGGGAGGGGUUAUGCCAGACUGUCAGUCUUGAGUGCGAGAGAGGAGCGUGGAAUUCCGGGUGUAGAGGUGAAAUUCGUAGAUAUCGGGAGGAACACCGGUGGCGAAGGCGGCGACCUGGGUAGAUACUGACGCUGAGGUGCGAAAGCGUGGGGAGCAAACAGG
RNAcentral lists this ribosomal RNA (253 nucleotides) under uncultured bacterium. Its description in RNAcentral is "partial 16S ribosomal RNA". It matches the Rfam family "Bacterial small subunit ribosomal RNA", at positions 524 to 776 of the family's 1533-position model. The record is from RNAcentral.